RNAcentral lists this long non-coding RNA (520 nucleotides) under Homo sapiens (human). RNAcentral's name for it is "HSALNT0365948". Lineage: Eukaryota; Metazoa; Chordata; Mammalia; Primates; Hominidae. The record is from RNAcentral.
AAGCCUUGGUUUAGAGAUGCUGGUUUCAGUGGUGUAAAUACCCUCACCAUGGCUAACCUUGAGACCUUGGGGUUGGGAUGGGCACGAUGCUGGUUUCAGUGGUGUAAAUACCCUCACCAUGGCUGACGCUGAGACCUUGGGGUUGGGAUGGGCACGAUGCUGGUUUCAGUGGUGUAAAUACCCUCACCAUGGCUGACGCUGAGACCUUGGGGUUGGCAUGGGCACGAUGCUGGUUUCAGUGGUGUAAAUACCCUCACCAUGGCUGACGCUGAGACCUUGGGGUUGGGAUGGGCACGAUGCUGGUUUCAGUGGUGUAAAUACCCUCACCAUGGCUGACGUUGAGACCUUGGGGUUGGGAUGGGCAUGAUGCUGGUUUCAGUGGUGUAAAUACCCUCACCAUGGCUGACGUUGAGAUCCUGGGGUUGGGAUGGGCACCAGCGGCUCUUCUGAGUGGGUCUGAGUCUGCUCCUGACACCCUGGGGAGGGUGGAUGCAGGGUAAGUGGGGUCUGGGCUGCUUGG